Molecule: long non-coding RNA, 1279 nt
Filed under: Cyclopterus lumpus (lumpfish)
Lineage: Eukaryota; Metazoa; Chordata; Actinopteri; Perciformes; Cyclopteridae
Description: lncRNA (ENSCLMG00005014382.1)
Source: RNAcentral
AGUCCGGCGCCUGCUGAGUGUACAGGAGCCUCCUGAACUUCGACCCCCUCGACCCAUCUUCAAACGGCACAGCAGUGACGCAACAGGAAGCUUCUUCCCAGACUUCAGGGUCAAUCCUUCUCCAAAGGCCAUGGAUCUGAGCUCCGCUGCCUUGGACACUUUAUCCACCUUAAGGGAGGUCAGCAUCAACCCCCCGUCUCCUGAAAGCCCGCCCUCUACUGUUUUCCCCCGGCUCGUCGUCAGUCCGCCGUUGUCCGGUGACAUCUGUCACAACGUGGAUUCUUCUGGCAACGGUGAAGCAGCAACAACUCAGAAUGGACUGGAUUCUUCCCCCUCCGAGGAGGCCCUGGGCUUGGGUCAUUCGAGGACCGGCUCCUCGGUUUGCUGUUCCCCAACUCAGUUGGGACCCAAGGAAUUCCGUUGGACAAAUGCCCCACCAACCCGGCCACGGGGGCGCCAGUUCUCCCUCCAGUUCUCCAGGCAGUCCUCGAAAGCGUCGGUCCGAAGCCUGCCGAGCCCCAAGGCUUUGGGAAGGCGAAGACGGGGCCUGGCUCGGUUCCAAUCCCGACGAGCACCCGGUCCACCUGCCAACACACUGCAGCUGCCCGACCCCGAGUACGACCAAGACUUCCAGGGAGUGGCGGGGGCCGAGGACGACGAGAAGGAAGGAACCAAAAACGGUGAACCGAGCAAAAACGACGACUCCCAAUCGGUGAGCUCGGUGAACAAAUGAGGGCCAGUCACAGUCACAUGGUAAUAUGAAUCCCAGAGCUGGUGACAAGAAAAGUCACAGGAGGAAAGUUGCUUAGAAAUGUCCAAUCUCUGAAGCCUGAAGGUUUAUUACUUGUUGCCAGAUUAUCAAUGGAGACAAACCGUCACCCUCAGACGGUACUCCAAAGAAUCCCAAUACUGGUGAUCAACUUUUAAGCUUAGGAAAUGAGCAACUUAAGUAAAGAUGGGAAGAGCAAACAACAACAACCACCACAGCUGAGCUUGAUUGGCUCAAACACCUUCCAUUAAAAGCCUUUUUCAUUCCUUAAUAUGUUCUUCAAUAACUCAACAAACACUGGAAGACGGGAAAUGAUCCACCAAGAGCUGAACCUGUUGUGGAAAACAAAUGUGUUGACUGUUAAUAUAUUUAGUGUUGUUUUUGAUGCCAUCUGGUGGCCAUUAGAGGAACAACAGCAGAACAGACUUCAGUUUUGGAUCCAACAUGCAACUGUGGUGACUGCUCAUUAAAUAAAGUACUCAGGAUUACUGACUCCACUUCAAAGGUUAC